GAUGAAGAACGUAGCGAAAUGCGAUAAGUAAUGUGAAUUGCAGAAUUCAGUGAAUCAUCGAAUCUUUGAACGCACAUUGCGCCCCUUGGUAUUCCGAGGGGCAUGCCCGUUCGAGCGUCAUUAUACCCCUCAAGCCUAGCUUGGUGUUGGGGCCUGCUGUUACCGGCAGCCCUUAAAAUCAGUGGCGGUGCCAUCUGGCUCUAAGCGUAGUAAUACUUCUCGCUACAGGGUCCCGGUGGAUGCUUGCCAUCAACCCCUAAUUUUCUAUGGUUGACCUCGGAUCGGGUAGGGAUACCCGCUGAACUUAAGCAUAUCAAUAAGCGAAGGA
RNAcentral lists this unclassified non-coding RNA (328 nucleotides) under soil metagenome. Its description in RNAcentral is "partial contains 5.8S ribosomal RNA, internal transcribed spacer 2, and large subunit ribosomal RNA". The stretch from base 1 to 120 matches the Rfam family "5.8S ribosomal RNA", at positions 35 to 154 of the family's 154-position model. The record is from RNAcentral.